Molecule: ribosomal RNA, 663 nt
Filed under: Triticum aestivum (bread wheat)
Lineage: Eukaryota; Viridiplantae; Streptophyta; Magnoliopsida; Poales; Poaceae
Description: partial small subunit ribosomal RNA
Source: RNAcentral
AUGGAGGUUCAGCUUACUCAUCAGCCCGAUCAGUUGUGUUGGAAGCUUACUAGAUCUGGGGAAUUCACAGUCAAGUCGAUGUACAUUGAUGUCAUCAACUCUAGUGUUAUUCCUAGUUCAAAACAUGUUUGGAAAGUUAAGGUUCCUCUGAAAAUCAAAGUGUUUAUGUGGUUUGUACAUAAACAAGUCGUUCUAACAAAAGAUAAUUUGAUUAAGCGCAACUGGACAGGUUCUACUAGGUGUAGUUUCUGUGAUCGGGAUGAAACUAUCCAGCAUCUUUUCUUUGAUUGCCCGUUGGCGAGAGUGUUGUGGCGCUCGGUGCAAAUUGCCUUUAACAUUACUUCUUCAAAUUCGGUCAGGUCGUUAUUUGGAACGUGGCUUGUUAGUAUAGAGGCCGAAACAGCUAGACAAAUUCGAGUAGGAGCGUGUGCGUUUUUAUGGGCAAUUUGGAACUGCAGAAAUGAUUUGGCUUUUAAUAGAACAACAACUAUUCAUUUUUUCCAGGUUUUAUUCCGGGCUACUGCGCUAAUCCAUAUGUGGUCCUUACUCACUCCGACGGAGGCCAGGGAGUGUUUGGUUACUGGAUCUGUCCGGUGGGAGAUGGUAGCGCGGGAUAUCUUCAACCGGUUUGGAUGGCGGUCAUGUAAUAGGAUAGGCGAUUAG